This 73-nucleotide transfer RNA is filed under the name Cordylochernes scorpioides. Its description in RNAcentral is "tRNA-Thr". The record is from RNAcentral. Lineage: Eukaryota; Metazoa; Arthropoda; Arachnida; Pseudoscorpiones; Chernetidae.
AUUCAAGGAUGGGAAUCGAACUCCCAGUGUUCCGCUUACCGGGAAGAUGCCAUGUCCACUAGGCUACCUUGGA